This is a non-coding RNA of Aspergillus carlsbadensis, 122 nucleotides long. Lineage: Eukaryota; Fungi; Ascomycota; Eurotiomycetes; Eurotiales; Aspergillaceae. The record is from the annotation of a GenBank genome assembly.
GCCUCUAUGGUCUAGUUGGUUAUGACGCGAGUCUCAUAUUUCGAUAUGACGUUUCUGCUCAAACAGGAAUGAGAAUUAUCUGCGACAUCUCGAGGUCCCCAGUUCGAUCCUGGGUGGAGGCA